AACGAACGCUGGCGGCAUGCCUAACACAUGCAAGUCGAACGAGACCUUCGGGUCUAGUGGCGCACGGGUGCGUAACGCGUGGGAACCUGCCCUUAGGUUCGGAAUAACUCCCCGAAAGGGGUGCUAUACCGGAUAAUGUCUUCGGACCAAAGAUUUAUCGCCUUUGGAUGGGCCCGCGUUGGAUUAGCUAGUUGGUAGGGUAAAAGCCUACCAAGGCGACGAUCCAUAGCUGGUCUGAGAGGAUGAUCAGCCACACUGGGACUGAGACGCGGCCCAGACUCCUACGGGAGGCAGCAGUGGGGAAUAUUGGACAAUGGGCGAAAGCCUGAUCCAGCAAUGCCGCGUGAGUGAUGAAGGCCUUAGGGUUGUAAAGCUCUUUUACCCGGGAUGAUAAUGACAGUACCGGGAGAAUAAGCUCCGGCUAACUCCGUG
Molecule: ribosomal RNA, 432 nt
Filed under: uncultured bacterium
Lineage: Bacteria
Description: partial 16S ribosomal RNA
Rfam family: Bacterial small subunit ribosomal RNA
Source: RNAcentral